ACCUGCUGCAGAUGGGGCAGGUGUGGAGGUCUUUCAUUUUUCUCCACAGGAAUCCAAAGGGGAGAAGACUUCGAAUAACAUAAAUGCAGGGGCAGUAAAACCAAGGGGAAAGGGCUAAAGGCAGCUCUGAAUUUUAUUCUAGGAUUCAAUUUUACCAUGGACUUCCAUCUCCAGAAGAUGCAGGGAAAUGAAGGGUAAGCUUGAGAAGUUUUCUUUGGCGUGCGUGCAGAACAGUAGGAUUAGUGUUCAGGCAAGGAAGAGAGAGGGAGACAGGCACCUCCAACAGGGUCCAUGUUCCACAACCCACCCCUUGCUUUAGCCAGGCCCAGCCUGGGUGCCUGUACUCUGUGUGUGUUCAGAGACAUCUCUGGAUGAGAACCUGCAACCUUCCCUUGGUGGCCAGCCUUGCAGAGCAUUACACUGUAGCUGUCCCACCAUCCAGCCCUCUAUUUCCCAGAAAUCUUGAGGUCACUGGUGAAUACUUUUAGUUCUAAG
Long non-coding RNA from Tupaia belangeri chinensis (Chinese tree shrew), 495 nucleotides. RefSeq lists it as uncharacterized. The transcript has 5 exons. The record is from RefSeq and is a predicted model, not a curated record. Lineage: Eukaryota; Metazoa; Chordata; Mammalia; Scandentia; Tupaiidae.